This 931-nucleotide ribosomal RNA is filed under the name uncultured fungus. RNAcentral describes it as "SSU rRNA". It matches the Rfam family "Eukaryotic small subunit ribosomal RNA", at positions 260 to 1198 of the family's 1831-position model. The record is from RNAcentral. Lineage: Eukaryota; Fungi.
UCGAAUCGCAUGGCCUUGCGCCGGCGACGGUUCAUUCAAAUUUCUGCCCUAUCAACUUUCGAUGGUAAGGUAUUGGCUUACCAUGGUUUCAACGGGUAACGGGGAAUUAGGGUUCGAUUCCGGAGAGGGAGCCUGAGAAACGGCUACCACAUCCAAAGAAGGCAGCAGGCGCGCAAAUUACCCAAUCCCGACACGGGGAGGUAGUGACAAUAAAUACUGAUACAGGGCUCUUUUGGGUCUUGUAAUCGGAAUGAGUACAAUUUAAACCCCUUAACGAGGAACAGUUGGAGGGCAAGUCUGGUGCCAGCAGCCGCGGUAAUUCCAGCUCCAAUAGCGUAUAUUAAAGUUGCUGCAGUUAAAAAGCUCGUAGUUGAACCUUGGGCCUGGCUGGCCGGUCCGCCUCACCGCGUGUACUGGUCCGGCCGGGCCUUUCCUUCUGGGGAGCCCCAUGCCCUUCACUGGGUGUGCGGGGGAACCAGGACUUUUACUUUGAAAAAAUUAGAGUGUUCAAAGCAGGCCUUUGCUCGAAUACGUUAGCAUGGAAUAAUAGAAUAGGACGUGCGAUCCUAUUUUGUUGGUUUCUAGGACCGCCGUAAUGAUUAAUAGGGACAGUCGGGGGCAUCAGUAUUCAAUUGUCAGAGGUGAAAUUCUUGGAUUUAUUGAAGACUAACUACUGCGAAAGCAUUUGCCAAGGAUGUUUUCAUUAAUCAGUGAACGAAAGUUAGGGGAUCGAAGACGAUCAGAUACCGUCGUAGUCUUAACCGUAAACUAUGCCGACUAGGGAUCGGGCGAUGUUUUUAUCUUGACUCGCUCGGCACCUUACGAGAAAUCAAAGUUUUUGGGUUCUGGGGGGAGUAUGGUCGCAAGGCUGAAACUUAAAGAAUUUGACGGGAAGGGCACCACCAGGCGUGGAGCCUGCGGCUUAAUUUGA